GAUGAACGCUGGCGGCGUGCCUAAUACAUGCAAGUCGAGCGAACAGACGAGGAGCUUGCUCCUCUGACGUUAGCGGCGGACGGGUGAGUAACACGUGGAUAACCUACCUAUAAGACUGGGAUAACUUCGGGAAACCGGAGCUAAUACCGGAUAAUAUAUUGAACCGCAUGGUUCAAUAGUGAAAGACGGUUUUGCUGUCACUUAUAGAUGGAUCCGCGCCGCAUUAGCUAGUUGGUAAGGUAACGGCUUACCAAGGCAACGAUGCGUAGCCGACCUGAGAGGGUGAUCGCCCACACUGGAACGGAAACACGGUCCAGAGUCCUAAGGGAGGCAGCAGUAGGGAAUCGUCCGCAAUGGGCGAAAGCCUGACGGAGCAACGCCGCGUGAGUGAUGAAGGUCUUCGGAUCGUAAAACUCUGUUAUUAGGGAAGAACAAAUGUGUAAGUAACUAUGCACGUCUUGACGGUACCUAAUCAGAAAGCCACGGCUAACUACGUG
Molecule: ribosomal RNA, 497 nt
Filed under: uncultured bacterium
Lineage: Bacteria
Description: partial 16S ribosomal RNA
Rfam family: Bacterial small subunit ribosomal RNA
Source: RNAcentral